This 354-nucleotide ribosomal RNA is filed under the name uncultured soil bacterium. RNAcentral's name for it is "bacterial SSU rRNA". It matches the Rfam family "Bacterial small subunit ribosomal RNA", at positions 26 to 410 of the family's 1533-position model. The record is from RNAcentral.
AGAACGAACGCUGGCGGCAUGCCUAAUACAUGCAAGUCGAACGAACACUUCGGUGUUAGUGGCGCACGGGUGCGUAACGCGUGGGAAUCUGCCCUUGGGUUCGGAAUAACAGUUGGAAACGACUGCUAAUACCGGAUGAUAUCGAAAGAUCAAAGAUUUAUCGCCCAGGGAUGAGCCCGCGUAGGAUUAGCUAGUUGGUGAGGUAAAGGCUCACCAAGGCGACGAUCCUUAGCUGGUCUGAGAGGAUGAUCAGCCACACUGGGACUGAGACACGGCCCAGACUCCUACGGGAGGCAGCAGUGGGAAUUUGGACAAGUGGGGGAAACCCUGAUCCAGCCAUCCGCGUGUGCGAUG